Molecule: ribosomal RNA, 1313 nt
Filed under: uncultured bacterium
Lineage: Bacteria
Description: bacterial SSU rRNA
Rfam family: Bacterial small subunit ribosomal RNA
Source: RNAcentral
ACAGGCUUAACACAUGCAAGUCGAGGGGCACCUGGGAAGAGAGCUUGCUCUUUUCUGCCGGCGACCGGCGCACGGGUGAGUAACACGUAUGCAACCUGCCCGUCACAGGGGGAUAAGCGGAAGAAAUUCCGUCUAAUACCGCGUGAUAUCCCGAGGAGGCAUCUCCUUGGGAUCAAAGGAAGCGAUUCCGGUGACGGAUGGGCAUGCGGCGCAUUAGCUAGUCGGCGGGGUAACGGCCCACCGAGGCGACGAUGCGUAGGGGUUCUGAGAGGAAGGUCCCCCACACUGGUACUGAGACACGGACCAGACUCCUACGGGAGGCAGCAGUGAAGAAUAUUGGUCAAUGGGCUGAGGCCUGAACCAGCCAAGUCGCGUGAGGGAAGACGGUCCUAUGGAUUGCAAACCUCUUUUGCCGGGGAGCAACGACGCCACGUGUGGCGGAAGUGAGAGUACCCGGAGAAAAAGCAUCGGCUAACUCCGUGCCAGCAGCCGCGGUAAUACGGAGGAUGCGAGCGUUAUCCGGAUUUAUUGGGUUUAAAGGGUGCGUAGGCGGACUGUUAAGUCAGCGGUAAAAUUGAGAGGCUCAACCUCUUCGAGCCGUUGAAACUGGCGGUCUUGAGUGGGCGAGAAGUAUGCGGAAUGCGUGGUGUAGCGGUGAAAUGCAUAGAUAUCACGCAGAACCCCGAUUGCGAAGGCAGCAUACCGGCGCCCCGACUGACGCUGAGGCACGAAAGCGUGGGGAUCGAACAGGAUUAGAUACCCUGGUAGUCCACGCAGUAAACGAUGAACACUAACUGUCCGGGCCGAAUGAGGUCUGGGUGGUACAGCGAAAGCGUUAAGUGUUCCACCUGGGGAGUACGCCGGCAACGGUGAAACUCAAAGGAAUUGACGGGGGCCCGCACAAGCGGAGGAACAUGUGGUUUAAUUCGAUGAUACGCGAGGAACCUUACCCGGGCUCAAACGUCUGAGGACGGACCGUGAAAGCGGUCUUUCCCACGGGACUUCAGACGAGGUGCUGCAUGGUUGUCGUCAGCUCGUGCCGUGAGGUGUCGGCUUAAGUGCCAUAACGAGCGCAACCCCCAUCUACAGUUGCUAACAGGUAAAGCUGAGGACUCUGUGGAGACUGCCGGCGCAAGCUGUGAGGAAGGCGGGGAUGACGUCAAAUCAGCACGGCCCUUACGUCCGGGGCGACACACGUGUUACAAUGGCAGGUACAGCGGGAAGCCAUAUGGCGACAUAGAGCGGAACCCGAAAACCUGUCUCAGUUCGGAUUGGAGUCUGCAACCCGACUCCAUGAAGCUGGAUUCGCUAGU